RNAcentral lists this ribosomal RNA (1047 nucleotides) under Pseudomonas sp. RNAcentral's name for it is "partial 16S ribosomal RNA". It matches the Rfam family "Bacterial small subunit ribosomal RNA", at positions 75 to 1115 of the family's 1533-position model. Lineage: Bacteria; Pseudomonadati; Pseudomonadota; Gammaproteobacteria; Pseudomonadales; Pseudomonadaceae. The record is from RNAcentral.
GGUGCUUGCNCCUCUUGAGNNCGGCGGNCGGGUGAGUAAUGCCUAGGAAUCUGCCUGGUAGUGGGGGAUAACGCUCGGAAACGGACGCUAAUACCGCAUACGUCCUACGGGAGAAAGCAGGGGACCUUCGGGCCUUGCGCUAUCAGAUGAGCCUAGGUCGGAUUAGCUAGUUGGUGAGGUAAUGGCUCACCAAGGCGACGAUCCGUAACUGGUCUGAGAGGAUGAUCAGUCACACUGGAACUGAGACACGGUCCAGACUCCUACGGGAGGCAGCAGUGGGGAAUAUUGGACAAUGGGCGAAAGCCUGAUCCAGCCAUGCCGCGUGUGUGAAGAAGGUCUUCGGAUUGUAAAGCACUUUAAGUUGGGAGGAAGGGCAUUAACCUAAUACGUUAGUGUUUUGACGUUACCGACAGAAUAAGCACCGGCUAACUCUGUGCCAGCAGCCGCGGUAAUACAGAGGGUGCAAGCGUUAAUCGGAAUUACUGGGCGUAAAGCGCGCGUAGGUGGUUCGUUAAGUUGGAUGUGAAAGCCCCGGGCUCAACCUGGGAACUGCAUUCAAAACUGUCGAGCUAGAGUAUGGUAGAGGGGUGGUGGAAUUUCCCUGUGUAGCGGUGAAAUGCGUAGAUAUAGGAAGGAACACCAGUGGCGAAGGCGACCCACCUGGACUGAUACUGACACUGAGGUGCGAAAGCGUGGGGAGCAAACAGGAUUAGAUACCCUGGUAGUCCACNCCGUAAACGAUGUCAACUAGCCGUUGGGAGCCUUGAGCUCUUAGUGGCGCAGCUAACGCAUUAAGUUGNCCGCCUGGGGAGUACGGNCGCAAGGUUAAAACUCAAAUGAAUUGACGGGGGCCCGCACAANCGGUGGAGCAUGUGGUUUAAUUCGAAGCAACGCGAAGAACCUUACCAGGCCUUGACAUCCAAUGANCUUUCCAGAGAUGGAUUGGUGCCUUCGGGNNCNUUNANNCAGGUNCUGCAUGGCNGNNGNCAGCUCGUGUCGUNANAUGUUGGGUUAAGUCCCGUANNNNGNNCNACCCUUGUCCUUAGU